CCUACGGGUGGCUGCAGUGGGGAAUAUUGCGCAAUGGGCGAAAGCCUGACGCAGCGACGCCGCGUGAGGGAUGAAGGUCUUCGGAUCGUAAAGCUCUAUCAGCAGGGAAGAAAAUGACAGUACCUGACCAAGAAGCCCCGGCUAACUACGUGCCAGCAGCCGCGGUAAUACGUAGGGGGCAAGCGUUAUCCGGAUUUACUGGGUGUAAAGGGAGCGUAGACGGUUAUGUAAGUCUGGAGUGAAAGCCCGGGGCCCAACCCCGGGACUGCUUUGGAAACUGUUUAACUGGAGUACAGGAGGGGAAGGCGGAAUUCCUGGUGUAGCGGUGAAAUGCGUAGAUAUCAGGAGGAACACCGGCGGCGAAGGCGGCCUGCUGGACUGAAACUGACGUUGAGGCGCGAAAGCGUGGGGAGCAAACAGGAUUAGAUACCCUGGUAGUC
This 440-nucleotide ribosomal RNA is filed under the name uncultured bacterium. RNAcentral's name for it is "partial 16S ribosomal RNA". It matches the Rfam family "Bacterial small subunit ribosomal RNA", at positions 338 to 795 of the family's 1533-position model. The record is from RNAcentral.